Molecule: microRNA precursor, 60 nt
Filed under: Centruroides sculpturatus (bark scorpion)
Lineage: Eukaryota; Metazoa; Arthropoda; Arachnida; Scorpiones; Buthidae
Description: Csc-Mir-29-P1_pre stem-loop
Rfam family: mir-29 microRNA precursor family
About the family: This family represents the microRNA (miRNA) precursors mir-29. Animal miRNAs are transcribed as ~70nt precursors and subsequently processed by the Dicer enzyme to give a ~22nt product. In this case the mature sequence comes from the 3' arm of the precursor.
Source: RNAcentral
ACUGGUUUCAUUUGGUGGUUAGAUGUGUUUCGUUACUCUAGCACCAUUUGAAUUCAGUUC